RNAcentral lists this long non-coding RNA (858 nucleotides) under Mytilus galloprovincialis (Mediterranean mussel). The record is from RNAcentral. Lineage: Eukaryota; Metazoa; Mollusca; Bivalvia; Mytilida; Mytilidae.
CUAUUUAAGGAAUGACUGUAAUAUUUUUUCUGUCUAUGAAGAAAUAACAUAAAAAUUUUGGUGCACACUGAAUAACGCGCGUAGCGGGUUAUUCAACAGUGUGCACCACAUUUUUUAUGUUAUUUCGAAUAGACAGAAAAAAUAUUACAGUAAUUUCUUAUAAUUUUAUUCUAAAUUCCAUUUUAAACCGUAGAAAACCAUGAAAAAACGUUGAUGACGUCACGGUCACAUGACUAAAUUAUGUCUAUGGGCUCAUAACAAAAUAACGUCAGCCAAUCAGCAGACGCGUUACAUCCAAAAUUAAACUAUUAUAGAAGGGUCAUAAAGGAGAAAAUCUAGAGUUUUAAUUGCAAAUUCUAGACGAUUUAUAUAAAUGAAUAUUAAGUUUAGGUCAAUGAGACAACAACCCAAAGACAUCUCUAGAGCAACAUACUUCACUCAAUAGAUAUUAAAGUUAUUUAUUAAGUAAAUUCUAUGGAGAUCUAGUAGGACAAAUGUAUCUUUACACAACAAAAACAAAACGCAAAAAAAAAAAAAAAAAAAACUACCAAAAAACAAAAACAUACAAACAUACAAUAGAUAUAGGAAGAUGUGGUGUGAGUGCCAAUGAGACAACUCUCCAUCCAAAUAACAAUUUAAAAAUGUAAACCAUUCUAGGUCAAUGUACGGCCUUCAACACAGAGCCUUGGCUCACACCGAACAACAAGCACGAAUUGGACAACAACUAACGGAUGGUCAUACCAUAACCCAAGUUUAAACAUUUAUUUUAUAGUGGUUUGGGAAACAAGUUAUCACAACAUAUAUCAAUCCAUCUCCAUUUUGCGGGAGCGAGUGCUGAAUAACCCAAGUGUACUAGUA